UUUCGAACGCAAUUCUUGUUU
Molecule: non-coding RNA, 21 nt
Filed under: Caenorhabditis elegans
Lineage: Eukaryota; Metazoa; Nematoda; Chromadorea; Rhabditida; Rhabditidae
Source: RNAcentral